AACGGCCGUACCAUGCUGAAUAUACCGGUUCUCGUUAGAUCACCGAAGUUAAGCAUCAUUGGGCGCGGUCAGUACUUGGGUGGGUGACCACCUGGGAACAUUGCGUGCCGUU
RNAcentral lists this ribosomal RNA (112 nucleotides) under Caerostris darwini. Lineage: Eukaryota; Metazoa; Arthropoda; Arachnida; Araneae; Araneidae. The record is from RNAcentral.